CAGGAAUCCUUCUACGGUAGUGCUCUUCAUGUAGCUGUUAAUCGAGGCUCCGCUAAGUGUUUACAGUAUUUGCUCGAUGCUGGUGCGGAUCCGAACGUGACUGAUCAGGGGGGAAAGACACCACUUCACUUUGCCAGUGAGCGGGGUCAUAUCGACUGUAUGCGGCAUCUACUGGACAGCAAAGCUGAUCCAAACCAACCUGACGAGGAUAAACGGACACCACUUCACUUUGCCACUAUUCAGAACAAGGUCGACUGCAUUCUGCAUCUACUGCGAGCUGGAGCUAACCCAGAUCAAGGAGAUAAGGCAGGUUAUGGAACAGACAUUUCAAUAUACUCUGCUAAUGCA
This is a long non-coding RNA of Sycon ciliatum, 348 nucleotides long. RefSeq lists it as uncharacterized. NCBI's taxonomy places the organism in Eukaryota, Metazoa, Porifera, Calcarea, Leucosolenida, Sycettidae. The transcript is spliced from 3 exons. The record is from RefSeq and is a predicted model, not a curated record.